AGAAGCAGUAUUUCCUUUACUGGUUUUACUGUAGACCCAGCAUUUUACUUUGAAGAAAUUAGAGUGUUCCUGGCAGGCUUAGCUUGCAUAUAUUAGCAUGGAAUAAUGGAAUAGGACCUUGUCUGUUUUAUUGGUUGACAGAUAGGUAAUGAUUAACAGGGACAGUCGGGGGCAUUCGUACUCAGUGGCUAGAGGUGAAAUUCUUAGAUUCGCUGAAGACGAACUAAUGCGAAAGCAUUUGCCAAGGAUGUUUUCAUUAAUCAAGAACGAAAGUUAGGGGAUCAAAGACGAUUAGAUACCGUCGUAGUCCUAGCCAUAAACUAUACCGACUAGGGAUUGGUGUGGGUCAUAAUCCAUAUCAGCACCUAAUGAGAAAUCAAAGUCUUUGGGUUCUGGGGGGAGUAGUGGUCGCAAGGCUGAAACUUAAAGGAAUUGACGGAAGGGCGACCACCAGGAGUGGAGCCUGCGGCUUAA
RNAcentral lists this ribosomal RNA (474 nucleotides) under uncultured eukaryote. RNAcentral's name for it is "SSU rRNA". It matches the Rfam family "Eukaryotic small subunit ribosomal RNA", at positions 708 to 1193 of the family's 1831-position model. The record is from RNAcentral.